This 565-nucleotide ribosomal RNA is filed under the name uncultured bacterium. RNAcentral's name for it is "partial 16S ribosomal RNA". It matches the Rfam family "Bacterial small subunit ribosomal RNA", at positions 355 to 935 of the family's 1533-position model. The record is from RNAcentral.
UGGGGAAUAUUGCACAAUGGGCGAAAGCCUGAUGCAGCGACGCCGCGUGAGGGAUGACGGCCUUCGGGUUGUAAACCUCUUUCAGCAGGGAAGAAGCGAAAGUGACGGUACCUGCAGAAGAAGCGCCGGCUAACUACGUGCCAGCAGCCGCGGUAAUACGUAGGGCGCAAGCGUUGUCCGGAAUUAUUGGGCGUAAAGAGCUCGUAGGCGGUUAGUCGCGUCUGCUGUGAAAACUCGAGGCUCAACCUCGGGCUUGCAGUGGGUACGGGCUGACUAGAGUGCGGUAGGGGUGACUGGAAUUCCUGGUGUAGCGGUGGAAUGCGCAGAUAUCAGGAGGAACACCGAUGGCGAAGGCAGGUCACUGGGCCGCAACUGACGCUGAGGAGCGAAAGCAUGGGGAGCGAACAGGAUUAGAUACCCUGGUAGUCCAUGCCGUAAACGUUGGGCACUAGGUGUGGGGUCCAUUCCACGGAUUCCGUGCCGCAGCAAACGCAUUAAGUGCCCCGCCUGGGGAGUACGGCCGCAAGCUAAAACUCAAAUGAAUUGNCGGGGGUCAUAGCUGUUU